This 77-nucleotide transfer RNA is filed under the name Myxococcales bacterium. RNAcentral's name for it is "tRNA-Arg". It matches the Rfam family "tRNA". From Rfam's summary of the family: Transfer RNA (tRNA) molecules are approximately 80 nucleotides in length. Lineage: Bacteria; Pseudomonadati; Myxococcota; Myxococcia; Myxococcales. The record is from RNAcentral.
GCGCCCUUAGCUCAGCUGGAUAGAGCAACGGCCUUCUAAGCCGUAGGUCGAACGUUCGAAUCGUUCAGGGCGUGCCA